RNAcentral lists this ribosomal RNA (428 nucleotides) under uncultured bacterium. RNAcentral's name for it is "bacterial SSU rRNA". It matches the Rfam family "Bacterial small subunit ribosomal RNA", at positions 354 to 796 of the family's 1533-position model. The record is from RNAcentral.
GUAGGGAAUAUUGCACAAUGGAGGAAACUCUGAUGCAGCGACGCCGCGUGAGUGAUGAAGGCCUUCGGGUCGUAAAGCUCUGUCGCAGGGGAAUAACACAAUGAAGGUACCCUGUAAGAAAGGAUCGGCUAACUUCGUGCCAGCAGCCGCGGUAAGACGAGGGAUCCUAGCGUUGUUCGGAAUUAUUGGGCGUAAAGCGGGUGCAGGUGGCUAUGUAAGUCAGGUGUGAAAGCCUAGGGCUCAACCCUAGAAGUGCAUUUGAUACUGCGUAGCUUGAGUGCUAGAGAGGAUAGUAGAAUUGUUGGUGUAGUGGUGAAAUACGUAGAUAUCAACAGGAAUACCGGUGGCGAAGGCGGCUAUCUGGCUAGACACUGACACUCAGACCCGAAAGCGUGGGGAUCAAACAGGAUUAGAAACCCUUGUAGUCC